CUGCUGCCUCCCGUAGGAGUUUGGACCGUGUCUCAGUUCCAAUGUGGGGGACCUUCCUCUCAGAACCCCUAUCCAUCGAUGCCUUGGUGGGCCGUUACCCCGCCAACAAGCUAAUGGAACGCAUCCCCAUCGAUGACCGAGAUUCUUUAAUAGUUCUACCAUGCGGAAGAACUAUGCCAUCGGGUAUUAAUCUUUCUUUCGAAAGGCUAUCCCCGAGUCAUGGCAGGUUGGAUACGUGUUACUCACCCGUGCGCCGGUCGCCA
RNAcentral lists this ribosomal RNA (263 nucleotides) under uncultured bacterium. RNAcentral's name for it is "partial 16S ribosomal RNA". The record is from RNAcentral.